Molecule: ribosomal RNA, 480 nt
Filed under: uncultured bacterium
Lineage: Bacteria
Description: partial 16S ribosomal RNA
Rfam family: Bacterial small subunit ribosomal RNA
Source: RNAcentral
GAUGAACGCUAGCGGCAGGCCUAACACAUGCAAGUCGAGGGGUAGAAGGAGCUUGCUCCUUUGAGACCGGCGCACGGGUGCGUAACGCGUAUGCAAUCUACCUUGUACAGGGGAAUAGCCCAGAGAAAUUUGGAUUAAUGCCCCAUAGUAUAUAACCUUCGCAUGUUGGUUAUAUUAAAGUUCCAACGGUACAAGAUGAGCAUGCGUCCCAUUAGUUAGUUGGUAAGGUAACGGCUUACCAAGACGAUGAUGGGUAGGGGUCCUGAGAGGGAGAUCCCCCACACUGGUACUGAGACACGGACCAGACUACUACGGGAGGCAGCAGUGAGGUAUAGUAGGCAAGGGUCGCAAGACUGAGCCAGCCAUGCCGAGUGCAGGAAGACGGUCCUAUGGAUUGUAAACUGCUUUUAGACAGGAAGAACCCCUCCCACGUGUGGGAGCUUGACGGUACUGGAGGAAUAAGGCCCGGCUAACUCCGUG